GCCUCUCCUUCCCCCGCAAACUGUUCGCUGGGAGACCCCGCCUCCACUCCACCGCGCCGCCGCUGCCGCCGCCGUGGCCAUCCCGGCGAGCACAUACCUUAGCUCCGCGGCAUAUAGGAGGUCUCCCGGCUGUUGACCCACAGGAUAGGGCUGCCCUCGCCGCAAAACCCACCCAGCCAGCCGCCCCCCUUCCCUUUCCUCGCCUCUCCUUCCCCCGCAAACUGUUCGCUGGGAGACCCCGCCUCCACUCCACCGCGCCGCCGUGGCCUUCCCGGCGCGCACAUACCUUAGCUCCGCUGCUUUGUUCACUGACACAGCUAAACAGUGGGUACGUAAAUGGAGAUGAAGUCGUCUAAACGGCCCUUCGAGUUGCUCAUAGAGAAGAGGCUAUGCCUUGAAAUCCUCAGAUCUGAUUACAUCAAAAUGUUUCACAAGAUUAAGGUCCACAAGAAUGCCAUAGACGAGAUUUACAAUCAAGUCAACCAUGUUGAGCCAUGGAUGAUUAACGACAAGAGGGUCCCUGGGCACGAUACCUUCAUUGCCCUCACCAAACCCGUCCGCAUUGUCCCCUCCAAGGCCUUCUGCCUCCUUUACAAGCCCUUCACCAUGAAACUUACCACGAAGCAGAUCAAGGACCUAAUUGACAACACGCACUCGCCUUAUGUCAGAGCUAUUGGAUUUUUAUACCUGCGGUAUGUUGCGGAACCAGAUACCUUAUGGACUUGGUAUGAGCCCUACAUUCGAGAUGACGAGAAGUUUUCGCCUGGACCCAAUGGUCAAAUGACUACUAUGGGCGUUUAUGUGCGUGAUCUCCUCCUGGGUGAGCGCUACUUCGGCAGUCCUCUUCCGCGAAUGCCAACCCGAGUUUUGCAAGAGGUCAUGGCCGAUCUUAAGACGAUGAGGCUCCCAACAAAACUGUCAGGGAUAAUUCAGUAUUCUUCCGUACAAGGAAGUGAAAGUGGUCAUGCAAAAUCUCCACCGAGGAAGCACCGAAGUCAAAGUUGUGAGAGUAGUCAUGAUACUGAGAGGAACCAUUCAGAGCAUGAUCGUCCUAGGCACAAUGUUAGGGAGCAAGGUCGGCAAGCCCAAGUCAAGAAAGACCUUGAAAGGGAUGAUGAGAGACGUAGGGGUUCUGACCGAAAUGGCUGUUCGAGUGGACGCCGCAGGAGCAGAAGCAGGAGCCGUGAAAGGAGGGACUGGGGACUUGACCGUGAAAGGAAGGACCCUGGUCGAAACAGGCGUUCGAGAGGCCGCAGUGGCAGGAGCAGGAGCAGGAGCAGGAGUAGGGGCAGGAGGUGGAGCAGGGGCGAGCACGAGCCUGAGCAGGAGCAGGAGCGUCAGCCCCACUUCAUUUUGCGAAGAUGAAGGGAGUAUGGCGAACGCCAUCUAACAUAUAAAGCCUGCUAGACUACCCGCUGUUCCAGCGGCAUUGCGUUCGCGCAGCAUUUUCAACCGCACGAUGCAUUUACUGUUUGCAGUUUUACCCUGCUGUCAAUUGGCCAACCGCUCGUUGCAUUCACACACGUCCAAUAAUUAUGUAGCUCUAUGACUGAUGGGGUCGAGUGUCUAUGGGGCCACUGAGCGGAGGCUGGGUUUCUCUUGAGCUGGGUGGGCGAUUGGCUGGUGGACCGCAGUUCGUGGUUGGGUGGGAGCGACGUGAAGGGAUGGGUUUUCCCUGGUCUACGCAGACCGUGCUCUACCCUGCUGUUUCGAUGGUCCCGGUUGGCAUUUGGGCCUGCUGUGAAGUGGCUUGGGUGCUCAGGUAGCUCAUACGAGAGGGAUUGCCAACUGGAUAAGAGCGGCGUGGCGGUCUCGACCAUUGGUCAGAGGCCAUGUGACCUAGCCGCCCGCAGCUGCAGCCGCCUCCUCUCCUCUUCCUCGUUCUCCUGCCGCCGCCGCCGCCUCCUCUCCUCUCCCCGAAUUCUCCUACCUCAGUCGUCGUUGUCGCCGCCGCCGCCGUCGACCUAGACGUCACCGGCUGAGACCGCUGUGGUAUGGAUAAGGAGACGAGAGGAAGAGGACAUCCUUCCCUGACAGCGCCCCGACCUGCCAGGUCAUCCUCCUCGUCGGCCUAGGUCUGGUUCUGCUGGAUUAGAUGGACAGAAGUGGUGGAUCCGAUGGUUGCCGGAAUCCCUCAUCGUCGGAGGAAGGCGUGCGACCGGCAAAGAAAUAGGCUGAUGGAGCAGGAUGGGGUGGCGGUUCAAGUUCGGCGGCCUUCGCGUGUUGUGGUUGGCGGCGCUGCACUUCCCUUCUCCCCUGCCCAGAUUAUCCUUCAAAGGAGGCCACAAAGAGCAGCGAUGGCUUCUUGGUAAUCUGCAAUUGGCCACAAAGGAUGAGGUACAUGGAGAUUGCCAGCCACCUUCCAUUGGUGUAUAUGCAAGCUACAGAGAAAACCAAAUAUGCACCAUGCCGAUAUGCUUCAUGACGAGUGUGCUUUUGUCAUCCCUCACCCUCUCAGAUGGCCAUUAGGUGCUAACCAAGAGGUGCACGCCAUGAAUCAAACUACCGAGGGGGCAUACAGUAAUAAGGAGGGAGUGGCUAUCGCAGCGAAGCUACCCUCCCCCUCAAUCAUGCACUGCUUUUCAAACGCAGUUUGCCACUGCUGUUUAAUUAGCUUCUGCAUUAGCAGCGGAUUCAGAGUUUAUUCUUCAGCGGAUUCAAUUUGCGGGAGACUCCUGUUGCAGUUUGGUGACAUAGAUCAGUGUCAAGUCGCUUAACAAAUGCAGCUAGGUUCCAUUCAGUUAGCCAAAGCCAUUGUGCAUUAAAAUUGUAGAUGUGCAUGAGAGUGUGGAAAUCAUUAUGGCACGUCUAUGAGCAUGCUAUACUCCCAUGCUACUUUCAGUUAUUGACCACUAGCUUUAUUACAGCACCCAGGAUUUCAGGGUUUGCUUUACUUAGGUUAGUAUGUACUCUACCACAGAUGAAUUGGUUAUAUCUCAUUUUAAUAUACUUCAUUAGUAAUUACUAAAUAAUCUAAAGCGAGUUCUAUGGCAAAUUUUGUUUGGGUCUACUUUUUUGGAUCAUUUCCAUAUCUACAUUUCUUACAUAUAAAGGUAUGCUGCAAAAAUUAAGGGUCUGGAUGGUAAUUUAUGGCUGUUUCAGUUGCUGACCAUGUGAUUAUGGUAGUCUACAAUUUGCUUAUGGGUUCUUCAUUGCUUGAUUUUUAUCUCGGACAAAAGAGGGCCAGCCACACCUUUGAAAUAAGCAGCGGCCAUCCAGUCCAGAACAGACUGAAUCUGCUCGACAAAGUGUGAAAAUGCAAUUACUGCUUGGAAAAGUGUAAAAAAGGCUAGGGUAUCAUUUAUGUAGUUAUUUGGAAUGCAAGGUUAGGAA
RNAcentral lists this ribosomal RNA (3333 nucleotides) under Triticum aestivum (bread wheat). RNAcentral describes it as "partial small subunit ribosomal RNA". The record is from RNAcentral. Lineage: Eukaryota; Viridiplantae; Streptophyta; Magnoliopsida; Poales; Poaceae.